UGUGUGGGGCGUGGGUGCAGAGACGUUUGCAUUCGACGCAGCUUUGGAUGACGGGGGUACAGAGACAGACUGUACGAGCGACGCAACGUAAGUAUAUAUAUAUCCGUAUGAGGAGAUGCGGGGUGUAUGGACUAGCUAUAUGCUAUCAUCGCAUUGUUUGUGUUGUGUUUGUGUGAUACUUUAGGCGUCUUGUUUGUUCAUGUUAGAGCUAAACUUCCAUAGUGGGAGUUCUAUUACUCAAGUCAGUGGUUUGCGUGUUUAGCAUCCCAUACCUCACGGAGUAACUCUC
RNAcentral lists this long non-coding RNA (289 nucleotides) under Brassica napus (rape). RNAcentral's name for it is "long non-coding RNA (BNAP_LNC020814)". The record is from RNAcentral. Lineage: Eukaryota; Viridiplantae; Streptophyta; Magnoliopsida; Brassicales; Brassicaceae.